UGGCUCAGAGGUUAAAGCAUCUGCUUCCAAUGCGGGAGACCCAGGUUCGAUCCCUGG
This 57-nucleotide transfer RNA is filed under the name Ovis aries (sheep). It matches the Rfam family "tRNA", at positions 8 to 63 of the family's 71-position model. From Rfam's summary of the family: Transfer RNA (tRNA) molecules are approximately 80 nucleotides in length. Their secondary structure includes four short double-helical elements and three loops (D, anti-codon, and T loops). Lineage: Eukaryota; Metazoa; Chordata; Mammalia; Artiodactyla; Bovidae. The record is from Rfam by way of RNAcentral.